Cyprinus carpio carpio is the source of this 536-nucleotide long non-coding RNA. The record is from Ensembl. Lineage: Eukaryota; Metazoa; Chordata; Actinopteri; Cypriniformes; Cyprinidae.
CCCAGUCAAAAGGCACAUAAGACGCCCACAUUGUUAAUAAAUGCACAGACAGUAUCACGCUGUGCUCAAAGCAACGAAACACUAUAUGAAAUGUUAAAUAUAGAUCAGAAAGCACCGAACAGGACGACGCCAAAUGGGCUAGUGUGCGCAGGCAGACCAGAUUUUUGCACAUCAAGUCCAUCUUCUAGAGCAUAAACUACGGAGUAAAGAGGAGCGUAUUUUGGAGUUGGAAACCGGUAACGCUCUCCUUCAUUUGAGACUCGCUGAGUGUCUGGGUAAACUCUGCCAUGAGAGGGAGGAGGAAAUCCAUGUCCAGAGACAGAAACAUCAGCAGCAGAGGAAGGUGCAGAAGUCCACACACGCAGCUCUCUCCAAACUUCUGUCUGAAGUUCAGAUGCUGAAACAGGACUUGAGGGAUGUUUUUGCCAUCUACGUGGGGUUUGCUAAAGAGCUGGAGGAACAAAGCAAGCAGCUGUUUGAAUGUGUGGGCACUGCCAGAAAUGCUAUUCAGGAUUUCCAAAGUGAUGACCUUCAGA